UGUAAUGGUCGUGUCUACUCUCCCGGAUUCCAAUACAGAUUGUAUUCUCACUUCUUCAAAAUUGGCGAUAAUUUUGUGCGGAGAUUCGGUCGUCGUACGGACAUAGUAAUCGUCAUGAAAGGUGUGAAGAAAUCAAAGUUCCCUGUGCGAACUAGUAAUAAUCCGCCACGGAAUUCGCCUAGUUUGGAUGAUUUUUCAGAUACUAUCAUUCAGUUUGAGCCUGGCUGCGCUGAAUCGAAAUUUUUUGAAGCGUGGGUGCAGAGGGAGCUGGCGAAUGAUAAUUCAGUUUAAAGUGUCGUAAGAAACAGAUCGCAUCCACAAGUAAUUGGUUAAACUUAUUGUCGUAGUGUAUUGUAACCAAGAUUGUGAAUUGUUACUGUAAGAAAUGUAAAAUUUUUAUUUUUAUUACUCUGAAACAGUACUUUAUAUGCAAGUGCGGUACUAGUUUAUUCAAAAAAUGUUACCUUUUGCUUUGUGUUGUCAUUGCGCUCCCGAUGCUAAAUUUCAGUGAUGUAGAAGUUGUGUGACGGAACAAUUGUAAGAAAUUUCAUUAUUGCUUGUUCUUUUGUGGUCAACAAUGAUGAAUAUUAUUUAUUAAUAAACGAGAAAUUGUGUCAUA
This is a long non-coding RNA of Daphnia magna, 619 nucleotides long. RefSeq lists it as uncharacterized. The transcript is spliced from 2 exons. The record is from RefSeq and is a predicted model, not a curated record. Lineage: Eukaryota; Metazoa; Arthropoda; Branchiopoda; Diplostraca; Daphniidae.